UCUAGUUGCCAUCAUUCAGUUGGGCACUCUAGCGAGACUGCCGGUAAUAAACCGGAGGAAGUGGGGAUGACGUCAAAUCAUCAUGCCCCUUAUGACCUGGGCUACACACGUGCUACAAUGGUUGGUACAACGAGUUGCGAGUCGGUGACGGCGAGCUAAUCUCUUAAAGCCAAUCUCAGUUCGGAUUGUAGGCUGCAACUCGCCUACAUGAAGUCGGAAUCGCUAGUAAUCGCGGAUCAGCACGCCGCGGUGAAUACGUUCCCGGGCCUU
This 270-nucleotide ribosomal RNA is filed under the name uncultured Streptococcus sp. RNAcentral's name for it is "partial 16S ribosomal RNA". It matches the Rfam family "Bacterial small subunit ribosomal RNA", at positions 1110 to 1382 of the family's 1533-position model. Lineage: Bacteria; Bacillati; Bacillota; Bacilli; Lactobacillales; Streptococcaceae. The record is from RNAcentral.